CCGAGCAGACUGAAAAAAAAAACCACACACGGAGGACGGGCUCACCUCCUCUCCCUCUCGCCCACGAUGUCCUCGCCGCCGCCACCACCCAUGCCGUCCGCUUCCGGUGAGCUCCGGCGCCACGCACCAUGCCCCUGAGCUCCCAACGGUCCUCUCCUCGCUCCCCUCCAGCCAGAUUCUCUGCUCCCGGCCUCUACCGCCCGCUCGCAACCCCAUCCCCAUGGCUAGGGUUUCAGGCAGGGCUUCGCCGGCGUCAAGGGCAUCUUCACGGAGAUGUGAAGGACGCCAUGGACCUGCAGCUCCUCAUGGUCAGCGGGGAGGAACCCUAGCCGGCAGCACCUCCUCACCUUGGAUGACGCCUCUGCUGCGCCAAGAUAGGGCAAGCAACCCCAUCUGCUCUCAAUCUCUCCCAUUAGCACAAGUCCAGUUUUUUUGAACAAAAUUCUGCUACUACACGAACAAGUCCAUGAAUAGAUCUAUUUUUAUUUGUGAAUUGAUAUCCUUCCAAACACAAACAGUGUAUAUAUGUGUUGUUUUUAUUUUUGUACCCUUUUCAUUUUUGUGCUUUUAUAUGUAAGCUCAUAAAAUAGUUAUACUGAAAAUGACAUGUAAGUUCUUACUGUGGGAGUAUGACGACAUGAAAUUCUAACUGAAUUCUUUUCAGCUGGAAAACGCCUUUCUACAAAAAGGAAAUAAAUUAUUCAAUUCUUGGUUCCACAUAGUCCUAAUUGCUUACAGUUUUAUCUCUGUUCAAUCUAUCUUACUGAAUUUCUGAACAACCAGGGUUGCUAGCAUGCUGUGUGGUGGAUUUGUUUUUUUGAAAUUGUUUCACGGCUAUUUGAGUGCUUUUGUUCGUUCUGUUCAUCAGUUCUUUCUAGUAUAGUGACUCAAGAAGUGAUUCUUCUGCAAAGUGAUGUGCUCUCAAUCGAGCCAGGCUCCAGGAAAGGUGACCAAGUGGUGUGUGUUUACCUAGCCGAGCAUAAUCUGAACGACUCCAACUGUUGUGUACAAAUCCAGCUAUGCAAGUGCAAGUAAAACUACGGUGGUUGUUGCAUCCACAAGCUGAGUACAAGGCAGGCUGACUACUAGGAGCCAGUAUGACAAGUCUACAAAGAUCUCCAGUACUGACAAGGCUCAGUCUGUACAAGGGGGUGUCUCAGUCUGGUUUGCCGUAGGUCUUCAUCGCUAUGUUGAAUCACAUGCUCCUUAUAGUCUAAUGCAAGUUGCUCAUAUUCAGAAAAUUGGUUACUCUUGAAUGAGGAAAUAAGGUGCUGAUAUAAGCAUUAACAUUAGAGUUCACAAUCAGGAACUAACUAAAGCAUUAACAUUGUAUAGACUGUAUACAUUAAAACAAUCAGUGCCGAUGCUAAUUUCAGCCUUUUAUUUCUGGAGUCAAGGGAUAACCUUUAUUUGAAUGGUUAUAUUUUUAUUUCAAUUGGAAACAAUCUUGAUGCACCAUUGAAGUUAUUUAAUAAGAACUAUCAACUACUCCUUUUCUAUUUUUGCAUAUUAAUGGCCCCAGGUACUCAACUGAGGAACACACCAUGCCACUUCGAAUCAAUAUUAUCACCAUGUAUGGAAGAUACUAGGAACCAUGACUUUCUGAUGAAUAUUCUUAUGCCAUAGAAGUUUCUCACUUAUAUAAAUUAAAUUUAACUCACAAUAUAGAAUGCACUUAGUAAAAUAAAAAAUAUCAGAACAAAAGUAGAAAUUUUCCCCAAACAAUUAUGUUUACACUUCUCCUACUGUUUAGAGGUUGGUUUAGUUUUACCCUGUCAAGAAAAAAUCAUAUAUAGUUCUCCAGAAUUGGCCUGGCUUAUCACAUUACGAAGAUCCACACUGUGGUAGUUCCCUUUGUAAACAUGUACUUUCAAUCGUGGUGAUAUUUUUCAACCUAGAUGUACCACAUCAUGCAAGUUAGAUAAAGAAUACAAAUAAGAAAUAACUAGGCCAUAUUAAUGGUGGUUUCACUCUAAAUAGGACUAAGCAUAAGCUUGUAAAAUAAAGAGCACAUUAGUUGAUUCUCUACAUAUAAUAUCACUGCAUAUUACAUUCAGGUUGUAUAAGACUGAAUUUGUUUUUUCUGUUCGGUUCCGCAGAUGUCAGUGUGAACUGGUCACUGCUUUCGGAAAGUGUAGGUAAGUGGGUUACAUUUUAGAAGAUAACACAAUAUUGGUGAUGCCUUAUGGACACAUCGCUGUUAAGGAUAAUGCUUUUGCAAUGAGUAUUGACAUUUCUGGUUGGUAUAAUGCAACACGGUGGAAUCUCUUUGUAACAUUGCAACUGAAUAUCUUGCAUGCAAUUCAAGGUGUACAGUGAUGUCGAGUGCACCGGGUUUGCAGAGCUGCCCCAAGUGCAAGCUCUACAUUGACAGAGUGGAUGCUUGCACCUUGCGCCUGCAGGUAACUAUUGGUUCCCCAAGUCUCCUUCCUACGUGUGGGCACUGUAUUUGGUACUUGUGUGGAUCCACAAUUUCUAGGUUGUAGAAACUGCAGGACUACAUGGUGAUUUGUCAAUGAUCUUAAGUUGGCCGACUCUACUACAUGGAAAGAAUUAAUUAUGCAAAUCCAAACUAUUUCUGUAUAAAGACUGGAUACUACUGUUAAUACUGAUUUGGUUAACAACAUUUAGCUCAUGCAACUCUAAUGCCAGUUUGGCCAUCACUAUCAGAAGUAACACCUAUACAAGCUCUAUUAGUAAACAUCACAAUUCAUGAGUGUUGUUUGACAUCACAUUAGUGAGCUCCUCGCUCUUGUGAUCCUGUGUUAUGGAGUCAUAACCAUUUUCAGUUAUUUUCAUGCCAACACAUUCGAUGUUUUCUGUUUAAUGUUAAAUCAUAACCAUUAAUUAGUCCAUCAAUGUCUUUUAGUAUGUGUUUUCACUGCAAAAGCUUAACCAUUGCAGUUUCCUGUGUGUAGAAGCUUGUAGACAAUUUUGUUAACUGAUUUCUGUGAUUUGUUUUCUGUAUGUAGCCCCCACUUAUGUGGAUGGUUCGGCAUAUCCAUAUAAGCUUUGUCUUGCAAUGAUGGUCCAAAGUUUCAAAAAAUAUAUUAUAUGAAGUUUCAAAUUACUUUUUAAAAGUUUGAUGCAUCUCAAGGACAGUUAGUGGUUGUGUCCCGUAUCUAAGCAGCACACAAUUGUUGAAGGGUCAUGACAGAAUCAGAAUUUCCAGCAUUCCUUUUCCAAGGUAGCAUGGAUUCGGGAACUUAUUCAUCAGACUAAUUAGAGAAUAUUUUUACUAAUCUGGGCCGGAUAACGUGGCGGCUCGAGUGACUAGGGGCGGCGUGGCUGCUAGAUGCAGAACAGCGGUGGAUGCUGGAGCUUGAAGGGUCCAGAUCCAUGCGCGGUAGGGGUUGGGGAGGCGGAUCCAGAGAUGGGCGACGAGGAAAGGGUCGCUGGUGACGACGAGGAAGGCCGGAGCGCGUCUUCCCAGGUGGAUCCAUGGCAUCCGCGACUCCUGGGCAUAAAGGAGACAUGGAGGUGAGGGACAGAAGGAGGCGCGGUGCGGCGACCUUACGUAUUGAAAGUUCACUUCACAAAUCUGGAGAACUAGCUGUAACCCCCUUCUCAUAUCCUUGCACAGGUAAGCAACAAAGUUUGUUUUGGUGAUUUUUGCCUUCUUUGAUUGAUACUUUUGAAGCAUCAAUGGGUCUCAUUUGUUUGUCAAUUCGUCAGUUUACUGUAGCCUAUAUAGCUGUUGCCGACAGUAAACUAUAUUUGAUUGACAAGCAACACAUCAUGCACUCCUACAUACAUGGAUUCUGUUUGUACUUGACAGCAACAGACUACUCCAAUGUAUGAAUAUGUUUGUUUAAAAAUGGCAGAAUAUGUAUGAAUAUUAACUUCAUACAUGGAGUAAAUUCGUAAAAGAUGUAUGGGAUGAGUUUACUGAUAAAAAAAGAAUACAGAAUGCCUGAAUGACCCCAAUGUACCCAGCUCUCACCGCCAUAUAGCUAGCACAAGAGCUUAAAAGCAAAGUGCCAGCAUGCCUCAUACAUGUUCCAAGAUAAACUAGAACAUAGCUACAAAUGUAAUGCAUCAGCAACGUUGUCUGCUACUCUGCUUCACGUACAGCGUCAUUGCACAUUCAGUUAGGUACGUGCAGGACCUUGCAACAUUCAGUCAAGCAAGUAGCCGCUGUUGUUGGAACGCCGUUGUGUGGGCAGUGCUGAAGCAGUCGGCUCGUCCUCGGAUUAGAGCAGUGCCGAGUCCGCCGGGUCGUCCUCGCAGCGGGGAAGUCCCGAGGCUGCCGGGUCACAAUCGAGUGCAGCAGCGCCGCGGCCACCGGGUCGCCGCCUGAUAGAACACCAAGGCUACCAGGCCAUCGUAGCAUCAAGCAGCGCCGAGGGCCCAUCUUUUUUUAUUUGUACUAUAACAAUAUGAAGUUUGUAUUUUAACAAUCUUUGAUUAUUUUACAUGUAUUAUGUCCAGCUUGCUGUUGCGAGUCCUUGUUUAUUCUUGUGACAAAUUUAACUAUGAUUUUCAGCUCA
This is a non-coding RNA of Triticum urartu, 4490 nucleotides long. The record is from RefSeq and is a predicted model, not a curated record. Lineage: Eukaryota; Viridiplantae; Streptophyta; Magnoliopsida; Poales; Poaceae.